RNAcentral lists this ribosomal RNA (253 nucleotides) under uncultured bacterium. RNAcentral describes it as "partial 16S ribosomal RNA". It matches the Rfam family "Bacterial small subunit ribosomal RNA", at positions 524 to 776 of the family's 1533-position model. The record is from RNAcentral.
UACGUAGGGUGCGAGCGUUGUCCGGAAUUAUUGGGCAUAAAGAGCUCGUAGGCGGCUUGUCGCGUCGGAUGUGAAAGCCCGGGGCUUAACUCCGGGUCUGCAUUCGAUACGGGCAGGCUAGAGUUCGGUAGGGGAGACUGGAAUUCCUGGUGUAGCGGUGAAAUGCGCAGAUAUCAGGAGGAACACCGGUGGCGAAGGCGGGUCUCUGGGCCGUAACUGACGCUGAGGAGCGAAAGCGUGGGGAGCGAACAGG